AUUGAACGCUGGCGGCAGGCCUAACACAUGCAAGUCGAGCGGAUGAAGGGAGCUUGCUCCUGGAUUCAGCGGCGGACGGGUGAGUAAUGCCUAGGAAUCUGCCUGGUAGUGGGGAUAACGUCCGGAAACGGGCGCUAAUACCGCAUACGUCCUGAGGGAGAAAGUGGGGGAUCUUCGGACCUCACGCUAUCAGAUGAGCCUAGGUCGGAUUAGCUGGUUGGUGGGGUAAAGGCCUACCAAGGCGACGAUCCGUAACUGGUCUGAGAGGAUGAUCAGUCACACUGGAACUGAGACACGGUCCAGACUCCUACGGGAGGCAGCAGUGGGGAAUAUUGGACAAUGGGCGAAAGCCUGAUCCAGCCAUGCCGCGUGUGUGAAGAAGGUCUUCGGAUUGUAAAGCUCUUUAAGUUGGGAGGAAGGGCAGUAAGUUAAUACCUUGCUGUUUUGACGUUACCAACAGAAUAAGCACCGGCUAACUUCGUG
RNAcentral lists this ribosomal RNA (483 nucleotides) under uncultured bacterium. Its description in RNAcentral is "partial 16S ribosomal RNA". It matches the Rfam family "Bacterial small subunit ribosomal RNA", at positions 30 to 507 of the family's 1533-position model. The record is from RNAcentral.